UNCCACGUGUAGCAGUGAAAUGCGUAGAGAUGUGGAGGAAUACCGAUGGCGAAGGCAGCNUCCUGGGAUAACACUGACGUUCAUGCCCGAAAGCGUGGGUAGCAAACAGGAUUAGAUACCCUGGUAGUNCACGCCCUAAACGAUGUCGAUUAGCUGUUGGGCAGCAUGACUGCUUAGUAGCGAAGCUAACGCGUGAAAUCGACCGCCUGGGGAGUACGGUCGCAAGAUUAAAACUCAAAGGAAUUGACGGGGACCCGCACAAGCGGUGGAUGAUGUGGAUUAAUUCGAUGCAACGCGAAGAACCUUACCUGGUCUUGACAUGUACGGAACCCUCCAGAGACGGAGGGGUGCCUUCGGGAGCCGUAACACAGGUGCUGCAUGGCUGUCGUCAGCUCGUGUCGUGAGAUGUUGGGUUAAGUCCCGCAACGAGCGCAACCCUUGUCAUUAGUUGCCAUCAUUAAGUUGGGCACUCUAAUGAGACUGCCGGUGACAAGCCGGAGGAAGGUGGGGAUGACGUCAAGUCCUCAUGGCCCUUAUGACCAGGGCUUCACACGUCAUACAAUGGUCGGUACAGAGGGUAGCCAAGCCGCGAGGUGGAGCCAAUCUCACAAAACCGAUCGUAGUCCGGAUUGCACUCUGCAACUCGAGUGCAUGAAGUCGGAAUCGCUAGUAAUCGCAGGUCAGCAUACUGCGGUGAAUACGUUCCCGGGUCUUGUACACACCGCCCGUCACACCAUGGGAGUGGGGGAUACCAGAAGUA
This 760-nucleotide ribosomal RNA is filed under the name uncultured bacterium. RNAcentral describes it as "bacterial SSU rRNA". It matches the Rfam family "Bacterial small subunit ribosomal RNA", at positions 667 to 1428 of the family's 1533-position model. The record is from RNAcentral.